Molecule: ribosomal RNA, 460 nt
Filed under: uncultured bacterium
Lineage: Bacteria
Description: partial 16S ribosomal RNA
Rfam family: Bacterial small subunit ribosomal RNA
Source: RNAcentral
CCUACGGGUGGCAGCAGUGAGGAAUAUUGGUCAAUGGACGAGAGUCUGAACCAGCCAAGUCGCGUGAAGGAUGACUGCCCUAUGGUUUGUAAACUUCUUUUAUAUGGGAAUAAAAUUUUCCACGUGUGGGAUUUUGCAUGUACCAUAUGAAUAAGGAUCGGCUAACUCCGUGCCAGCAGCCGCGGUAAUACGGAGGAUUCGAGCGUUAUCCGGAUUUAUUGGGGUUAACGGGUGCGUAGGGCGUGAGUUAAGUCAGCGGUUAAAGUUGGGGGCUCAACCUUCACCUUGCCGUUGAAACUGGUUGUCUUGAGUGGGUGCGAGGUAUGCGGAAUGCGUGGUGUAGCGGUGAAAUGCAUAGAUAUCACGCAGAACUCCGAUUGCGAAGGCAGCAUACCGGCGCUCAACUGACGCUGAGGCACGAAAGUGUGGGUAUCGAACAGGAUUAGAUACCCGAGUAGUC